GUAUUCGUGGUGUAAAUAGUUAGCACUCCCGACUGGCAAUCGGAAGGCCCGGAGUUCGAAUCUCGGCGAGGGCA
This 74-nucleotide transfer RNA is filed under the name Stegodyphus mimosarum. It matches the Rfam family "tRNA". From Rfam's summary of the family: Transfer RNA (tRNA) molecules are approximately 80 nucleotides in length. Their secondary structure includes four short double-helical elements and three loops (D, anti-codon, and T loops). Lineage: Eukaryota; Metazoa; Arthropoda; Arachnida; Araneae; Eresidae. The record is from Rfam by way of RNAcentral.